CCUACGGGAGGCAGCAGUGGGGAAUAUUGCACAAUGGGGGGGAACCCUGAUGCAGCGACGCCGCGUGGGUGAAGGAGUAUUUCGGUAUGUAAAGCCCUAUCAGCAGGGAAGAACAAUGACGGUACCUGACUAAGAAGCACCGGCUAAAUACGUGCCAGCAGCCGCGGUAAUACGUAGGGUGCAAGCGUUAUCCGGAGUUACUGGGUGUAAAGGGAGCGCAGGCGGCGCGUUAAGCCCAGUGGGAAAGCCCGCGGCCCAAACGCGGGACUGAAUUGGGAACUGGCGCGCUGGAGUGCCGGAGGGGUAGGCGGAAUGCCGGGUGUAGCGGUGAAAUGCGUAGAUAUUAGGAGGAACGCCAGUGGCGAAGGCGGCCUACUGGACGGUGACUGACGCUGAGGCUCGAAAGCGUGGGGAGCGAACAGGAUUAGAUACCCGGGUAGUC
Molecule: ribosomal RNA, 442 nt
Filed under: uncultured bacterium
Lineage: Bacteria
Description: partial 16S ribosomal RNA
Rfam family: Bacterial small subunit ribosomal RNA
Source: RNAcentral